Molecule: ribosomal RNA, 906 nt
Filed under: Pinnularia borealis complex sp.
Lineage: Eukaryota; Bacillariophyta; Bacillariophyceae; Sellaphorales; Pinnulariaceae
Description: partial 28S ribosomal RNA
Source: RNAcentral
UAUUAUUAAGCGGAGGAAAAGAAACUAACAAAGAUUGACAUAGUAAGGGCGACUGAAACGUCAUAAGCUCAGCAUGUGAAUCAGCGCUUAUUUGAGUAAGCGCUGAAUUGUGAACYUUUGAUUAUUGCACCACUURGUUCAGACCAUGUUUUUUGGAAUAAAAUAGCAAAGAGGGUGAAACUCCCGUUUGUUUGAACUMUGGACGCAAUAGUYACUGAGUCGAGUUGUUUGGGAUUGCAGCUCAAAUGCGGUGGUAAAUUCCAUCUCAAGCUAAAUAARGGCAGGAAACCGAUAKWRAAAAAGUACCGUGAGGGAAAGAUGCAAAGAACUUUGAAAAGAGAGUGAAAGAGUACCUGAAAUUGCUGAAAAGGAAGCGAACGAAGCUAGUGAAAGYUACGUCAUACUUUCCACAUUGCUCGCAAUGUGGACGCUGUGGCUGGCCAUGUYCACCUUGAUUGAAAUAUGUGAAACUGGCAAAGAAAGUUUUUCUCUUGCCUUCUGCAUGCAUUGAAAUUGAGUCGAACAAAAUAGCUUUGUUUGCCCCGUCUAGAAACACGGACCAAGGAGUCUAACAUAUGUGCAAGUACUGRGGUAGCCAACCUUGGUGCAAAAUGAAAGUGUCAGAGGCUGGAAUGAGUUUGCAUUUGCACAGUCCGCCGGCCUCAAUCCCUCGGGAAAAUGGUCUGAGUGUGAGCAUACAUGUUGGGACCCGAAAGAUGGUGAACUAUGCUUGAGUAGGGUGAAGCCAGGGGAAACUUUGGUGAAGGCUCGCAGCGAUUCUGACGUGCAAAUCGAUCGUCAAACUUGAGUAUAGGGGCGAAAGACUAAUCGAACUAUCUAGUAGCUGGUUCCCUCCGAAAUUUCCCUUAGGAUAGCUGCAAUCUCACGAGAAAGCCAGUUUUGUCA